This 207-nucleotide long non-coding RNA is filed under the name Elaeis guineensis (African oil palm). RNAcentral describes it as "long non-coding RNA (EGUI_LNC077938)". The record is from RNAcentral. Lineage: Eukaryota; Viridiplantae; Streptophyta; Magnoliopsida; Arecales; Arecaceae.
UCCCAUGCCGCUUUGCUCGAAGUUGUUUCAAUAAUUUUCUCGAAUGUUGACUCCUCUACUGCUUGAUAAAGAUAAAAGAGGGCCUUUUUGUUCUUCUUUCUUGCAUCCUUCAACUUGUUUCAUCAAUUUGCAGUCAAUGUGACUUUUUCUUGCUUUGUAUACUCUUGAUACCUAUUGUUAACUAAUUUCCAAAGAUCUUGAGAACCA